GGAGAUUCAGGGGCGAGAAAUUCUGAACAAAAUCAGAAUAAACUGGAAAAAGGCCAAUUAAAAUUCUUAAUAAAAUAGUACCGGAAUACAACACUGCUUGGAAUUCAGGUCUUGAACCAUUAACACGAAAGCUCAGAGGCAGUCACCCUGGCUGCUCAGGGACAUCAGAGCCCUUCAAGACUCGGGUGCUGCCACGUCCGUGUGGCCCUCGCGGUUCCGGGGCAGCGCGUGGGUCCGACGCAGAACAGGAGUGAGUAAAAACUGCUGAGCGCCGCCCCAAAGACGAGGUUCCACCGAGACUCGAACUCGGAUUCACGCUGGAUUCAGAGUCCAGAGUGCUCGCCAUCACACCAUGGAACCACCGGGGACCCUUCAGCUGGGAUCACUGAAUUCAGAGGCCAGAGUGCUCACCAUAACGCAGACCCUCCCGCAGCCCGUCCCUGCCAGCAGUUGAGCCAGGCGCGCGCAGCCCCGCCGGCCCAGGACCCGCUUCCCGCCGGGCGCGCUCCUCAGCCGCGCGCAGCCCGCGUCCUCCGCGACGCCAGGGGGCGCCGGCCUUGCCUGCCCUCGGCCUCCCUGCAGGUUAGUACGUCCAGGAGGACAUGAAAUCCACUGGGGUCAGCGACAGGGCAGGGCUUUCAGGCCUCCCCCAAGUCCACCUGCUCUGCCAGCAUUUGUGGAGUGUUCUACGCUGAGGAGUUCUACUUCAGCGCAGGAAACUCUACAAAUGCUGGCAGAACAGAGGGUUUGGGGUGGGCCCUGCCCUGUCGCUGACCUCAACGGAUUUUAUCGUCCUCUGGUACAAACCUGCCCGGAGGCCGCGGGCAGGCGAGUCCGGAGCCUCCUGGCGUCGAGGCGGAAGCGGGCUGGGGGCUGCGGGCUCUCUUGGACGCGAAAAGCCACCGUUAGGCGAAGAUUUGAGCCUUGACUCCAGGAAAUCCUGUCCUUUUGUUCCAAGCUCAGCCAGAAAGAGGAGCCUGGGCCACAGAGUCAAGCGUCUAUGGAGACCAGGGGUCCCUGGUUCACCUCUACCCAGGCUUUUGAGACAUUUUGCAGGUCUUACAACCAAGGCUGGACUGUAUUGGAUAUACCUGGUUUGGUUAGAUUUGAAUUGGAAGCCACAUUCAUUUUUUUAAUCAAAAAAUUAAAUGUUAUUUAGUCAUAAAAUUAAAUUUUAAAAAUCCCCUCUAAAGAUUGAAACCACAAUGUAAAAACGAACAUGGGUGUCCUGUUUAUGGAACGACCGGAUGGAUAAGUCGUAAAGCAACUAAAACACAAUAAUAUGCUUUCCCCUAUUCUGUUGUUAGUGGCAUUGUUGCUAUUUCAUUAUUCUUUUGUCCACGUAAUGUGGGAAAAAGCAUAAGAGACUAUAGAGUGCUGUAUUCCUCUUACUCCCAGGGUCCUUAAAAACGAAAAUCCUGGUAUUAGAGAAGAGAGAUGCAGAUGAAAUAUAGAUUUCCAUUAAAAAAAAAAAACCCUUAGUUCUAAAUCUGAAUUGUUCAUGCUUGUGACUAUACGUGAAUACAUGAGUCCAUGCAAAUAUGAGUAUGUAUUUCCUAGUUGUGGCCACUGGAAAGCCUAGAAAUAAACCAAUUUCAGUGAGUAUCUCUAGGUUACA
Molecule: transfer RNA, 1618 nt
Filed under: Sus scrofa (pig)
Lineage: Eukaryota; Metazoa; Chordata; Mammalia; Artiodactyla; Suidae
Description: lncRNA (ENSSSCG00055007835.1)
Source: RNAcentral